GACGAACGCUGGCGGCGUGCCUAAUACAUGCAAGUAGAACGCUGAAGAGAGGAGCUUGCUCUUCUUGGAUGAGUUGCGAACGGGUGAGUAACGCGUAGGUAACCUGCCUUGUAGCGGGGGAUAACUAUUGGAAACGAUAGCUAAUACCGCAUAACAAUGGAUGACACAUGUCAUUUAUUUGAAAGGGGCAAUUGCACCACUACAAGAUGGACCUGCGUUGUAUUAGCUAGUAGGUGAGGUAAUGGCUCACCUAGGCGACGAUACAUAGCCGACCUGAGAGGGUGAUCGGCCACACUGGGACUGAGACACGGCCCAGACUCCUACGGGAGGCAGCAGUAGGGAAUCUUCGGCAAUGGGGGCAACCCUGACCGAGCAACGCCGCGUGAGUGAAGAAGGUUUUCGGAUCGUAAAGCUCUGUUGUAAGUCAAGAACGGGUGUGAGAGUGGAAAGUUCACACUGUGACGGUAGCUUACCAGAAAGGGACGGCUAACUACGUG
Molecule: ribosomal RNA, 497 nt
Filed under: uncultured bacterium
Lineage: Bacteria
Description: partial 16S ribosomal RNA
Rfam family: Bacterial small subunit ribosomal RNA
Source: RNAcentral